CCUACGAGUGGCAGCAGUGGGGAAUAUUGCGCAAUGGGCGAAAGCCUGACGCAGCGACGCCGCGUGAGGGAUGAAGGUCUUCGGAUCGUAAACCUCUGUCAGCAGGGAAGAACGGUCACUGUGCUAAUCAGCAGUGAAUUGACGGUACCUGCAAAGGAAGCACCGGCUAACUCCGUGCCAGCAGCCGCGGUAAUACGGAGGGUGCGCGCGUUAAUCGGAAUUACUGGGCGUAAAGCGCUCGUAGGCGGUAUGUCAAGUCAAGGGUGAAAUCCCCGAGCUAAACGUGGGAACGGCCUUUGAAACGGGCAACCUGGAGUGUGUGAGAGGAUAGUGGAAUUCAAGGUGUAGGAGUGAAAUCCGUAGAUAUCUGGAGGAACAUCAGUGGCGAAGGCGACUAUCUGGCACAUAACUGACGCUGAGGAGCGAAAGCGUGGGUAGCAAACAGGAUUAGAUACCCUAGUAGUC
This 465-nucleotide ribosomal RNA is filed under the name uncultured bacterium. RNAcentral describes it as "partial 16S ribosomal RNA". It matches the Rfam family "Bacterial small subunit ribosomal RNA", at positions 338 to 795 of the family's 1533-position model. The record is from RNAcentral.